This 201-nucleotide ribosomal RNA is filed under the name Triticum aestivum (bread wheat). Its description in RNAcentral is "partial small subunit ribosomal RNA". Lineage: Eukaryota; Viridiplantae; Streptophyta; Magnoliopsida; Poales; Poaceae. The record is from RNAcentral.
GGGUUGGGGAACGGCCAGACAGUUCAACGGCUUCUAGAUGUCCAGAAGAAGGUGGACCCUGACAUUCUCUUUCUCUCGCAAACAAAGAUGGAUGAAAGACCUUUGGAGUGGUUUAGGUGAAAAAUGGGUUUGACUAAUAUGGUAGUGAAAACCAUGAUGGCCAGAGUGGAGGGCUUGCUCUUUUCCGGCGGAACGGAGUAA